RNAcentral lists this ribosomal RNA (445 nucleotides) under uncultured bacterium. RNAcentral describes it as "bacterial SSU rRNA". It matches the Rfam family "Bacterial small subunit ribosomal RNA", at positions 30 to 507 of the family's 1533-position model. The record is from RNAcentral.
AUUGAACGCUGGCGGUAUGCUUAAGACAUGCAAGUCGAACGGUAACAGACCUUCGGGUGCUGACGAGUGGUGGACGGGUGAGUAACACGUGGGAAUCUACCUUAUAGUGGGGGAUAAGCCAGGGAAACUUGGACUAAUACCGCAUACGCCCUACGGGGAAAGGAGCAAUUCGCUAUAAGAUGAGCCCGCGUCUGAUUAGCUAGUUGGUGAGGUAAAGGCUCACCAAGGCGACGAUCAGUAGCUGGUCUGAGAGGAUGGCCAGCCACAUUGGGACUGAGACACGGCCCAGACUCCUACGGGAGGCAGCAGUCGGGAAUAUUGGACAAUGGGGGCGAACCCUGAUCCAGCAAUACCGCGUGUGUGAAGAAGGCCUGCGGGUUGUAAAGCACUUUUAGUGGGGAAGAUAAUGACGUUACCCACAGAAAAGACACCGGCUAACUCCGUG